RNAcentral lists this ribosomal RNA (845 nucleotides) under Staphylococcus aureus. RNAcentral describes it as "partial 23S ribosomal RNA". It matches the Rfam family "Bacterial large subunit ribosomal RNA", at positions 1 to 842 of the family's 2925-position model. The record is from RNAcentral. Lineage: Bacteria; Bacillati; Bacillota; Bacilli; Caryophanales; Staphylococcaceae.
AGAUUAAGUUAUUAAGGGCGCACGGUGGAUGCCUUGGCACUAGAAGCCGAUGAAGGACGUUACUAACGACGAUAUGCUUUGGGGAGCUGUAAGUAAGCUUUGAUCCAGAGAUUUCCGAAUGGGGAAACCCAGCAUGAGUUAUGUCAUGUUAUCGAUAUGUGAAUACAUAGCAUAUCAGAAGGCACACCCGGAGAACUGAAACAUCUUAGUACCCGGAGGAAGAGAAAGAAAAUUCGAUUCCCUUAGUAGCGGCGAGCGAAACGGGAAGAGCCCAAACCAACAAGCUUGCUUGUUGGGGUUGUAGGACACUCUAUACGGAGUUACAAAGGACGACAUUAGACGAAUCAUCUGGAAAGAUGAAUCAAAGAAGGUAAUAAUCCUGUAGUCGAAAAUGUUGUCUCUCUUGAGUGGAUCCUGAGUACGACGGGACACGUGAAAUUCCGUCGGAAUCUGGGAGGACCAUCUCCUAAGGCUAAAUACUCUCUAGUGACCGAUAGUGAACCAGUACCGUGAGGGAAAGGUGAAAAGCACCCCGGAAGGGGAGUGAAAUAGAACCUGAAACCGUGUGCUUACAAGUAGUCAGAGCCCGUUAAUGGGUGAUGGCGUGCCUUUUGUAGAAUGAACCGGCGAGUUACGAUUUGAUGCAAGGUUAAGCAGUAAAUGUGGAGCCGUAGCGAAAGCGAGUCUGAAUAGGGCGUUUAGUAUUUGGUCGUAGACCCGAAACCAGGUGAUCUACCCUUGGUCAGGUUGAAGUUCAGGUAACACUGAAUGGAGGACCGAACCGACUUACGUUGAAAAGUGAGCGGAUGAACUGAGGGUAGCGGAGAAAUUCCAAUCGAACCUGG